AUGAACCUCAUAAUGAUGUUUUUGGUUUUGAGCAUCUGUUAUACAGGUGUUGAUGCACAGACUUUGACAGAAUCUGAAGCAGCGGUCAAAAGGCCAGGAGAAUCCCACACUCUUACCUGUACAGGCUCUGGGUUCACAUUCAGCAGCCACUUGAUGGGCUGGGUCAGACAAUCUGCUGGAGAAGGCCUGGAGUGGGUUUCUACCAUUGAUGUUACCAGCAAAUACUACGCUCAGUCAGUUCAAGGACGGUUCACCAUCUCCAGAGACAACAGCAGAGAGCAGGUGUAUCUGCAGAUGAACAGUCUGAGAGCUGAGGAUUCUGCUGUUUAUUACUGUGUGCGGCACGCACAGUGA
Non-coding RNA from Oryzias melastigma (Indian medaka), 354 nucleotides. NCBI's taxonomy places the organism in Eukaryota, Metazoa, Chordata, Actinopteri, Beloniformes, Adrianichthyidae. The record is from the annotation of a RefSeq genome assembly.